UUAAAAUUUCAUGAUGAUUUCAUAGUUCAACUGAAUAUAAUUUGAUGACAUACUUGCAUAUGUCUUUCGCUCCUAUCUGAUUUUUC
This 86-nucleotide small nucleolar RNA is filed under the name Nasonia vitripennis (jewel wasp). RNAcentral's name for it is "small nucleolar RNA snR60/Z15/Z230/Z193/J17". It matches the Rfam family "Small nucleolar RNA snR60/Z15/Z230/Z193/J17". From Rfam's summary of the family: The members of this family belong to the C/D class of snoRNAs which contain the C (UGAUGA) and D (CUGA) box motifs. Most of the members of the box C/D family function in directing site-specific 2'-O-methylation of substrate RNAs. Lineage: Eukaryota; Metazoa; Arthropoda; Insecta; Hymenoptera; Pteromalidae. RNAcentral also lists the same sequence under 1 other name. The record is from Rfam by way of RNAcentral.